This 253-nucleotide ribosomal RNA is filed under the name uncultured bacterium. RNAcentral's name for it is "partial 16S ribosomal RNA". It matches the Rfam family "Bacterial small subunit ribosomal RNA", at positions 524 to 776 of the family's 1533-position model. The record is from RNAcentral.
UACAGGGGGUGCAAACGUUGCUCGGAAUCACUGGGCGUAAAGGGCGCGUAGGCGGGAUGGCAAGUCGGUCGUGAAAUCCUUCGGCUCAACCGAAGAACGUCGGCCGAUACUGCCGUUCUUGAGGGAUGCAGAGGAGAUUGGAAUUCCCGGUGUAGCGGUGAAAUGUGUAGAGAUCGGGAGGAACACCGGUGGCGAAGGCGGGUCUCUGGGCAUCUCCUGACGCUGAGGCGCGAAAGCGUGGGGAGCAAACGGG